UCCAGCAGCUUUAUUUUCAUAAUCUCAAAGAUCGGUUCAUUUCGUCAGCACGCACCGGAAUCAGUGUCGCCACUCCAGUCCUACGGCUGCAUUUGUCCCGCCUGUGUCCCCUCGAGGGCGGGGUGACUCCCAGAGACUGUCCUUCUCCAGAGAAAGCGACGAAUCUGCCUCCAGCGUCAUCCUGAGUGUGAAGAGAAAAUACCAUUUUCAGAAACUCCUUGGAAGUUUAAUAAGAAAUGCUUUAUUCUGUUGACUCAUGUACCAUCUGCCCAUUUUCCUUACUCUCACAUUCAUAAUAAGAAAUGUCUUUGAAAUAGAAAUGCAAGUUAUAAUCUACUGAAUUGAAAACAAAACCAUGGAAUCACAA
This is a long non-coding RNA of Aethalodelphis obliquidens (Pacific white-sided dolphin), 367 nucleotides long. RefSeq lists it as uncharacterized. The record is from RefSeq and is a predicted model, not a curated record. Lineage: Eukaryota; Metazoa; Chordata; Mammalia; Artiodactyla; Delphinidae. The transcript has 2 exons.